RNAcentral lists this long non-coding RNA (505 nucleotides) under Ananas comosus (pineapple). Its description in RNAcentral is "long non-coding RNA (ACOM_LNC037178)". Lineage: Eukaryota; Viridiplantae; Streptophyta; Magnoliopsida; Poales; Bromeliaceae. The record is from RNAcentral.
UAAUAUUAUAUUUGAAUUAGUAUUUUGAAAUUUUGGAUGUAAUGUAAUAUGUUUUGAAAUAUGAUAAAAGAAAAUAAUUGUUUCGGAUUUGGGUUCGGGUUCGGGCCCGUUUUAGAUUUUUGCUUGGGUUAUAUAGAUUUUUUUUUUUUUUUUUUGAGAGAGAAAGAUAGUAUGUUACUCGUUUCGUUUAUUUCUUUUCAAAUAAACUUAGCUGGAAAUAUGAAUCAACUAGGAUUCAAACUUAGGACCUCGAGUACCGACCACCAAACCUUUUGCCACUUUCACUAAGGGCAUGUUUGGCUGUCCAAAGUGAUCGAAGUGAAAAAAGUCACUUUUCAAAAAGUAACUUUUAUAAAAGUCACUUUUGAGUUUAAGUGUUUGGUUUCAAAAAAGUGAAAGAAAAAAAAUACAGUUUUUAUGACUUCUAUUGUUUGGUUCUAUAUAAGAAAAUGAAAAAAGAAAAUAAUUUUUUUUAGAUGCGUAGUUUUUUUUUCUUUUUUUUUUU